GGGCUCUUAGCUUAAAGGUAAAGUACAUGAGCGUCACUCAUGCUGAUACCAGUUCGAGUCUGGUAGGGCUCG
This 72-nucleotide transfer RNA is filed under the name Cantharellus cibarius (golden chanterelle). Its description in RNAcentral is "tRNA-Asp". It matches the Rfam family "tRNA". From Rfam's summary of the family: Transfer RNA (tRNA) molecules are approximately 80 nucleotides in length. Lineage: Eukaryota; Fungi; Basidiomycota; Agaricomycetes; Cantharellales; Hydnaceae. The record is from RNAcentral.